GACGAACGCUGGCGGCGUGCCUAAUACAUGCAAGUUGAGCGCUGAAGGUUGGUACUUGUACCAACUGGAUGAGCAGCGAACGGGUGAGUAACGCGUGGGGAAUCUGCCUUUGAGCGGGGGACAACAUUUGGAAACGAAUGCUAAUACCGCAUAAAAACUUUAAACACAAGUUUUAAGUUUGAAAGAUGCAAUUGCAUCACUCAAAGAUGAUCCCGCGUUGUAUUAGCUAGUUGGUGAGGUAAAGGCUCACCAAGGCGAUGAUACAUAGCCGACCUGAGAGGGUGAUCGGCCAAAUUGGGACUGAGAAACGGCCCAAACUCCUACGGGAGGCAGCAGUAGGGAAUCUUCGGAAAUGGACGAAAGUCUGACCGAGCAACGCCGCGUGAGUGAAGAAGGUUUUCGGAUCGUAAAACUCUGUUGGUAGAGAAGAACGUUGGUGAGAGUGGAAAGCUCAUCAAGUGACGGUAACUACCCAGAAAGGGACGGCUAACUACGUG
RNAcentral lists this ribosomal RNA (497 nucleotides) under uncultured bacterium. Its description in RNAcentral is "partial 16S ribosomal RNA". It matches the Rfam family "Bacterial small subunit ribosomal RNA", at positions 28 to 507 of the family's 1533-position model. The record is from RNAcentral.